Molecule: ribosomal RNA, 110 nt
Organism: Panthera pardus (leopard)
Lineage: Eukaryota; Metazoa; Chordata; Mammalia; Carnivora; Felidae
Source: Ensembl
ACAUUUGGUAAGACUGUUGAAGCCACCUGGUCCCAGCAGACCCCAGAAGGCAACCACAUUCCCUGGUGCUGGGGCAAGGUCUUUGAGGGUGAAGCCUGGUAUCAGAUGUG